RNAcentral lists this ribosomal RNA (496 nucleotides) under uncultured bacterium. Its description in RNAcentral is "partial 16S ribosomal RNA". It matches the Rfam family "Bacterial small subunit ribosomal RNA", at positions 29 to 507 of the family's 1533-position model. The record is from RNAcentral.
AUGAACGCUGGCGGCGUGCCUAAUACAUGCAAGUCGAGCGAACAGACGAGGAGCUUGCUCCUCUGACGUUAGCGGCGGACGGGUGAGUAACACGUGGAUAACCUACCUAUAAGACUGGGAUAACUUCGGGAAACCGGAGCUAAUACCGGAUAAUAUAUUGAACCGCAUGGUUCAAUAGUGAAAGACGGUUUUGCUGUGACUUAUAGAUGGAUCCGCGCCGCAUUAGCUAGUUGGUAAGGUAACGGCUUACCAAGGCAACGAUGCGUAGCCGACCUGAGAGGGUGAUCGGCCACACUGGAACUGAGACACGGUCCAGACUCCUACGGGAGGCAGCAGUAGGAAAUCUUCCGCAAUGGGCGAAAGCCUGACGGAGCAACGCCGCGUGAGUGAUGAAGGUCUUCGGAUCGUAAAACUCUGUUAUUAGGGAAGAACAAAUGUGUAAGUAACUAUGCACGUCUUGACGGUACCUAAUCAGAAAGCCACGGCUAACUACGUG